UGGGGAAUAUUGGACAAUGGGGGGAACCCUGAUCCAGCCAUGCCGCGUGUGUGAAGAAGGCCUUAUGGUUGUAAAGCACUUUAAGCGAGGAGGAGGGUACUGGUAUUACUACUACCAGGUACUGGACGUUACUCGCAGAAUAAGCACCGGCUAACUCUGUGCCAGCAGCCGCGGUAAUACAGAGGGUGCGAGCGUUAAUCGGAUUUACUGGGCGUAAAGCGUGCGUAGGCGGCUAAUUGAGUCGGAUGUGAAAUCCCCGAGCUUAACUUGGGAAUUGCAUUCGAUACUGGUUAGCUAGAGUGUGGGAGAGGAUGGUAGAAUUCCAGGUGUAGCGGUGAAAUGCGUAGAGAUCUGGAGGAAUACCGAUGGCGAAGGCAGCCAUCUGGCCUAACACUGACGCUGAGGUACGAAAGCAUGGGGAGCAAACAGG
Molecule: ribosomal RNA, 430 nt
Filed under: Pseudomonadota bacterium
Lineage: Bacteria; Pseudomonadati; Pseudomonadota
Description: Proteobacteria bacterium partial 16S ribosomal RNA
Rfam family: Bacterial small subunit ribosomal RNA
Source: RNAcentral